This 225-nucleotide ribosomal RNA is filed under the name Triticum aestivum (bread wheat). Its description in RNAcentral is "partial small subunit ribosomal RNA". The record is from RNAcentral. Lineage: Eukaryota; Viridiplantae; Streptophyta; Magnoliopsida; Poales; Poaceae.
AUGAAUUUGUUGUGCUGGAAUUCUCGCGGGAUUGGCAAUGCCCCCACAAUUCAAGAGCUUCGCAAACUCACACAAAAGUUUGCCCCUAGAGUACUUUGCAUCGUCAAAACCCAAAUUAGUGGUGAUAGAGCUGAAAAAUUAAAGAGUACUCUAGGUUUUGAUAAUUCUUUUGCUGUUGAUUCCUCCGGUGGGAGCGGAUGUCUGGCUAUAUAUGUUUUGGCAUAA